AGAGUUUGAUCAUGGCUCAGAUUGAACGCUGGCGGCAGGCCUAACACAUGCAAGUCGAGCGGUAGCACAGAGAGCUUGCUCUCGGGUGACGAGCGGCGGACGGGUGAGUAAUGUCUGGGAAACUGCCUGAUGGAGGGGGAUAACUACUGGAAACGGUAGCUAAUACCGCAUAAUGUCGCAAGACCAAAGUGGGGGACCUUCGGGCCUCAUGCCAUCAGAUGUGCCCAGAUGGGAUUAGCUAGUAGGUGAGGUAACGGCUCACCUAGGCGACGAUCCCUAGCUGGUCUGAGAGGAUGACCAGCCACACUGGAACUGAGACACGGUCCAGACUCCUACGGGAGGCAGCAGUGGGGAAUAUUGCACAAUGGGCGCAAGCCUGAUGCAGCCAUGCCGCGUGUGUGAAGAAGGCCUUCGGGUUGUAAAGCACUUUCAGCGGGGAGGAAGGCGAUAAGGUUAAUAACCUUGUCGAUUGACGUUACCCGCAGAAGAAGCACCGGCUAACUCCGUGCCAGCAGCCGCGGUAAUACGGAGGGUGCAAGCGUUAAUCGGAAUUACUGGGCGUAAAGCGCACGCAGGCGGUCUGUCAAGUCGGAUGUGAAAUCCCCGGGCUCAACCUGGGAACUGCAUUCGAAACUGGCAGGCUAGAGUCUUGUAGAGGGGGGUAGAAUUCCAGGUGUAGCGGUGAAAUGCGUAGAGAUCUGGAGGAAUACCGGUGGCGAAGGCGGCCCCCUGGACAAAGACUGACGCUCAGGUGCGAAAGCGUGGGGAGCAAACAGGAUUAGAUACCCUGGUAGUCCACGCCGUAAACGAUGUCGAUUUGGAGGUUGUGCCCUUGAGGCGUGGCUUCCGGAGCUAACGCGUUAAAUCGACCGCCUGGGGAGUACGGCCGCAAGGUUAAAACUCAAAUGAAUUGACGGGGGCCCGCACAAGCGGUGGAGCAUGUGGUUUAAUUCGAUGCAACGCGAAGAACCUUACCUGGUCUUGACAUCCACAGAACUUAGCAGAGAUGCUUUGGUGCCUUCGGGAACUGUGAGACAGGUGCUGCAUGGCUGUCGUCAGCUCGUGUUGUGAAAUGUUGGGUUAAGUCCCGCAACGAGCGCAACCCUUAUCCUUUGUUGCCAGCGGUUCGGCCGGGAACUCAAAGGAGACUGCCAGUGAUAAACUGGAGGAAGGUGGGGAUGACGUCAAGUCAUCAUGGCCCUUACGACCAGGGCUACACACGUGCUACAAUGGCAUAUACAAAGAGAAGCGACCUCGCGAGAGCAAGCGGACCUCAUAAAGUAUGUCGUAGUCCGGAUUGGAGUCUGCAACUCGACUCCAUGAAGUCGGAAUCGCUAGUAAUCGUAGAUCAGAAUGCUACGGUGAAUACGUUCCCGGGCCUUGUACACACCGCCCGUCACACCAUGGGAGUGGGUUGCAAAAGAAGUAGGUAGCUUAACCUUCGGGAGGGCGCUUACCACUUUGUGAUUCAUGACUGGGGUGAAGUCGUAACAAGGUAACCGUAGGGGAACCUGCGGUUGGAUCACCU
Molecule: ribosomal RNA, 1528 nt
Filed under: Klebsiella pneumoniae BIDMC 36
Lineage: Bacteria; Pseudomonadati; Pseudomonadota; Gammaproteobacteria; Enterobacterales; Enterobacteriaceae
Also listed under: 1 other name
Description: bacterial SSU rRNA
Rfam family: Bacterial small subunit ribosomal RNA
Source: RNAcentral